RNAcentral lists this unclassified non-coding RNA (301 nucleotides) under Hevea brasiliensis (rubber tree). The record is from RNAcentral. Lineage: Eukaryota; Viridiplantae; Streptophyta; Magnoliopsida; Malpighiales; Euphorbiaceae.
AGCUCUUCUUCAUCUUGACAUCAAUAUGGUUGAAUCAGUUCUACUAUAUCUUUGGCUUCCUCUUCAUAGUGUUUGUUAUCCUUUUGAUCACUUGUGCAGAGAUAACAAUUGUGCUCUGCUACUUCCAGUUAUGCAGUGAAGACUACCACUGGUGGUGGAGAUCUUACCUGACUGCUGGCUCUUCUGCUCUGUACCUUUUCCUCUACUCGGUGUUCUACUUCUUUACCAAAUUGGAAAUCACUAAGUUGGUUUCCGGAAUCCUCUACUUCGGGUAUAUGAUAAUCAUAUCUUAUGCUUUCUU